CGGUGGAGCAUGUGGUUUAAUUCGAAGCAACGCGAAGAACCUUUACCAGGUUCUUGACAUCCCGAUGCUUAUUUCUAGAGAUAGAAAGUUACUUCGGUACAUCGGUGACAGGUGGUGCAUGGUUGUCGUCAGCUCGUGUCGUGAGAUGUUGGGUUAAGUCCCGCAACGAGCGCAACCCCUAUUGUUAGUUGCCAUCAUUCAGUUGGGCACUCUAGCGAGACUGCCGGUAAUAAACCGGAGGAAGUGGGAUGACGUCAAAUCAUCAUGCCCCUUAUGACCUGGGCUACACACGUGCUACAAUGGUUGGUACAACGAGUUGCGAGUCGGUGACGGCGAGCUAAUCUCUUAAAGCCAAUCUCAGUUCGGAUUGUAGGCUGCAACUCGCCUACAUGAAGUCGGAAUCGCUAGUAAUCGCGGAUCAGCACGCCGCGGUGAAUACGUUCCCGGGCCUU
This 452-nucleotide ribosomal RNA is filed under the name uncultured Streptococcus sp. RNAcentral's name for it is "bacterial SSU rRNA". It matches the Rfam family "Bacterial small subunit ribosomal RNA", at positions 930 to 1382 of the family's 1533-position model. The record is from RNAcentral. Lineage: Bacteria; Bacillati; Bacillota; Bacilli; Lactobacillales; Streptococcaceae.